UCUAGAUUAGAGUUUGAUCAUGGCUCAGGACGAACGCUGGCGGCGUGCCUAAUACAUGCAAGUCGAGCGGACAGAUGGGAGCUUGCUCCCUGAAGUCAGCGGCGGACGGGUGAGUAACACGUGGGCAACCUGCCUGUAAGACUGGGAUAACUUCGGGAAACCGGAGCUAAUACCGGAUAACACCGAGGACCUCAUGGUCCUUGGUUGAAAGAUGGCUUCGGCUAUCACUUACAGAUGGGCCCGCGGCGCAUUAGCUAGUUGGUGAGGUAACGGCUCACCAAGGCGACGAUGCGUAGCCGACCUGAGAGGGUGAUCGGCCACACUGGGACUGAGACACGGCCCAGACUCCUACGGGAGGCAGCAGUAGGGAAUCUUCCGCAAUGGACGAAAGUCUGACGGAGCAACGCCGCGUGAGCGAUGAGGGCCUUCGGGUCGUAAAGCUCUGUUGUUAGGGAAGAACAAGUACCGUUCGAAUAGGGCGGUACCUUGACGGUACCUAACCAGAAAGCCACGGCUAACUACGUGCCAGCAGCCGCGGUAAUACGUAGGUGGCAAGCGUUGUCCGGAAUUAUUGGGCGUAAAGCGCGCGCAGGCGGUUCCUUAAGUCUGAUGUGAAAGCCCACGGCUCAACCGUGGAGGGUCAUUGGAAACUGGGGAACUUGAGUGCAGAAGAGGAAAGCGGAAUUCCACGUGUAGCGGUGAAAUGCGUAGAGAUGUGGAGGAACACCAGUGGCGAAGGCGGCUUUCUGGUCUGUAACUGACGCUGAGGCGCGAAAGCGUGG
This 782-nucleotide ribosomal RNA is filed under the name uncultured Bacillus sp. RNAcentral describes it as "bacterial SSU rRNA". It matches the Rfam family "Bacterial small subunit ribosomal RNA", at positions 1 to 764 of the family's 1533-position model. Lineage: Bacteria; Bacillati; Bacillota; Bacilli; Caryophanales; Bacillaceae. The record is from RNAcentral.